GAUGAACGCUAGCGGCAGGCCUAACACAUGCAAGUCGAGGGGCAGCGGGGUGUAGCAAUACACUGCCGGCGACCGGCGCACGGGUGCGUAACACGUAUCCAAUCUACCCAUGGCUCGGGAAUAGCCUUUCGAAAGAAAGAUUAAUGCCCGAUGGUCUGUUUGUGAGACAUCUUGCGAGCAGUAAAGAUUUAUCGGCGAUGGAUGAGGAUGCGUCCGAUUAGCUGGUUGGCGGGGUAACGGCCCACCAAGGCGACGAUCGGUAGGGGUUCUGAGAGGAAGGUCCCCCACAUUGGAACUGAGACACGGUCCAAACUCC
This 316-nucleotide ribosomal RNA is filed under the name uncultured Bacteroidales bacterium. RNAcentral describes it as "bacterial SSU rRNA". It matches the Rfam family "Bacterial small subunit ribosomal RNA", at positions 28 to 339 of the family's 1533-position model. The record is from RNAcentral. Lineage: Bacteria; Pseudomonadati; Bacteroidota; Bacteroidia; Bacteroidales.